This is a long non-coding RNA of Medicago truncatula (barrel medic), 786 nucleotides long. RefSeq lists it as uncharacterized. The transcript has 5 exons. NCBI's taxonomy places the organism in Eukaryota, Viridiplantae, Streptophyta, Magnoliopsida, Fabales, Fabaceae. The record is from RefSeq and is a predicted model, not a curated record.
AAAAAAAAAAAAAAAAUACCCUUCUCGCUCACAUAACCAACUUCUCUAUCUCAGAGUCCUUCUACCAUCGAAGAAGCCUUUUGAGAGAACGCUCCUCUCUCUUUCUCUCUCAUUGAAGAAAUCUGUCUCAUCACCCUCUCACCCUCCGUCACUCCCUAAUUAUUCAAAGAAUCUUGUAUUAACCAGGUUUUUUGAUUUAUUUACUCAAUCAAGGUUAACGCCUGGUGGAAACCCAGCUUGCAAGAAUCUUGCUUCAAUCAUGCUCACUCGAUCCACAGUCCACUUUAGUUUGCUUUGUCAAAACUUAUCUUGAAAGUCAUGCAAAACAACUCGUGGAGAAUUGUAUCUUGAAACCCAGAAACCAAAUAAUGCAUGAUUUGUAAAUGAUGCAGCAAAGGCUGCAAUGCAGUAUAUUCAAGACGACAUUGAUUGGGCCUAAGUUGAAUUUGAAGGAAAUCAAGAUUGCCUUCAUCUUUUAGAGAAGGUACAUAACUUCUGAGUUCUAAUAUAUAUUCUGACAUAUGGUUUAGACAUCCUUUGGUACUCUACGCAUGCUAUUUCACGGGAAGACAUCUUCUGGGUUCUAAUAUAUAUCCCGACAUAUGCUUUAUAGAUUCUUUGGUACUCUGCACUUGUUAUUUCAAGCAAAGACAUGUUUUAGAAGUGAGAACUGUUGUUUAGUAGGGUUCUAGGAAGUAUUUUAAUAUGGUCUAUCAAGUAUUUUAAUGUGGAACAUGAUUAUCAUAUGGUUCGUAAUUGUGUUUGUUUACUGCUGUAAUUUUGAUG